RNAcentral lists this ribosomal RNA (388 nucleotides) under Salmonella enterica. RNAcentral describes it as "partial 23S ribosomal RNA". It matches the Rfam family "Bacterial large subunit ribosomal RNA", at positions 165 to 591 of the family's 2925-position model. Lineage: Bacteria; Pseudomonadati; Pseudomonadota; Gammaproteobacteria; Enterobacterales; Enterobacteriaceae. RNAcentral also lists the same sequence under 2 other names. The record is from RNAcentral.
CAUAGGUUAAUGAGGCGAACCGGGGGAACUGAAACAUCUAAGUACCCCGAGGAAAAGAAAUCAACCGAGAUUCCCCCAGUAGCGGCGAGCGAACGGGGAGGAGCCCAGAGCCUGAAUCAGCAUGUGUGUUAGUGGAAGCGUCUGGAAAGGCGCGCGAUACAGGGUGACAGCCCCGUACACAAAAGCGCAUGUGCUGUGAGCUCGAUGAGUAGGGCGGGACACGUGGUAUCCUGUCUGAAUAUGGGGGGACCAUCCUCCAAGGCUAAAUACUCCUGACUGACCGAUAGUGAACCAGUACCGUGAGGGAAAGGCGAAAAGAACCCCGGCGAGGGGAGUGAAAAAGAACCUGAAACCGUGUACGUACAAGCAGUGGGAGCACCCUUUGGGG